UGGCUCAGAACGAACGCUGGCGGCGCGUUUAAGCAUGCAAGUCGAGCGGCAAGGGCCUUCGGGCCCUAGAGCGGCGGACGGGUGAGUAACACGUGGACAAUCUGCCCCCCGGCCCGGGAUAGCCCAGGGAAACCUGGAUUAAUACCGGAUGAGACGGGACCCGCGAUGGCGGGACCCGGGAAAGGCGCUGCGGCGCCGCCGGGGGAUGAGUCUGCGUCCCAUUAGCUAGACGGCGGGGUAACGGCCCACCGUGGCGACGAUGGGUAGCCGGCCUGAGAGGGUGGACGGCCACAUUGGAACUGAGACACGGUCCAGACUCCUACGGGAGGCAGCAGCUAAGAAUCUUCCGCAAUGGGCGAAAGCCUGACGGAGCGGAACCGCCGCGUGAACGAAGAAGGCCGUGAGGUUGUAAAGUUCUUUUCGGGAGGGGGAACAACCGUGGCAGGGAAUGGCCGCGGGAUGACGUGAAUCCCGGAAUAAGCCCCGGCUAACUACGUGCCAGCAGCCGC
Molecule: ribosomal RNA, 509 nt
Filed under: uncultured bacterium
Lineage: Bacteria
Description: bacterial SSU rRNA
Rfam family: Bacterial small subunit ribosomal RNA
Source: RNAcentral